This 253-nucleotide ribosomal RNA is filed under the name uncultured bacterium. Its description in RNAcentral is "partial 16S ribosomal RNA". It matches the Rfam family "Bacterial small subunit ribosomal RNA", at positions 524 to 776 of the family's 1533-position model. The record is from RNAcentral.
UACGUAGGGCCCGAGCAUUAUCCGGAAUUAUUGGGCGUAAAGAGCGUGUAGGCGGCCCGGUAAGUCCGCUGUGAAAGUCGGGGGCUCAACCCUGGGAUGCCGGUCGAUACUGCCGGACUAGAGUUCGGAAGAGGCGAGUGGAAUUCCCGGUGUAGCGGUGAAAUGCGCAGAUAUCGGGAGGAACACCUAUGGCGAAGGCAGCUCGCUGGGACGUUACUGACGCUGAGACGCGAAAGCGUGGGGAGCAAACAGG